This 1081-nucleotide long non-coding RNA is filed under the name Canis lupus familiaris (dog). RNAcentral describes it as "lncRNA (ENSCAFG00040013276.1)". Lineage: Eukaryota; Metazoa; Chordata; Mammalia; Carnivora; Canidae. The record is from RNAcentral.
ACUGUUAACCUAUGCACUUUCACUUCUGGAACUGAGCCCCCAAGGAUGUACCAGAAGCUAUAUGAGUUACAGAUCCUCAAGGUACUACUAGCCCAACAGCUGGAAAGGAUCUUUAUCAAGAAUCAAGGAUGUAUAAUCACUUAAUUAUUACAUUUCCGGACAUGUGGAAUAUGUGCUAUCAAUUACUCGUCAAGUUUCAUUUCUGAGGUCAAAGACUUCAGCAACUCCCUUCACUUCAACGAAUAAGCAAUUCCACGGCAAAGUUUGAGGGGAAAUGAAACUUCCAGCUAAGAUCUCCAGAAUAAACUUUGAUGAAUCAUGAAGAAAGGAUAAAUCAUGAGGAAGGGACCUUUAUAUUUCUUACCAGCUCUGAUUUGCUACUUACCUGGACCACCAUGGCAGCAGCAAUACCUACAAUUACAAAGAGAUAUUGGAACAAUUGUCCAGAGAGACCGAGAAUUCUCCGCUACCAUUGACACCAGUACUAGGAAGAGACCUGUCACCUGGAUGACAUGGGGUGCCUCUGAGCUUUGGAUGCAGAAGAGCUUGAGGCACUGCAAACAAAAAGGACAGUAAGCAGCUCUAUUUGGGAACUGGAAGCCUGAUGGAAAGGGAGGUGAACACUCUCCCCUCCUGUAAUUCUUUACUUGACUAGAGAAUUCACCAAUGCCCUGCUGAGGAAGGCACACAGAUGGUCCCAGAAUUACAUUGUAGUUUGAUUUGCAAGAUACUCUGGUUUGCUUUUGCACGGGUUAAUUGGUAAGCUCUAUGUAGUUCAUUUCAGAGUUUUCUCAAUUAAUUUUUUUGGCUGCCUUUGUAAGUUUUCAAGUCCACAAUCUGGUUGCUAAGGAGAAGUUUCUGUAUCACUUGGACCCCACACUGACAUUCAAGUUAAAAAUUUGUAGAGUGGACCAGGUAAGUCACACCCCAGCUGAGGGCCAGAGUGAAGCCUGAAAUUAUGAUUGUGCAUUAUAAACUAAAGUGCAAAAUCAACAUUUAUUUUGUUGCUGGAAUUUUUCAGAGUCAGAUUCUAAGUAUUCCUUUUGUCACUGUCAGCAACAGCCUUCUAACAGUGUUUCCU